RNAcentral lists this ribosomal RNA (491 nucleotides) under uncultured bacterium. RNAcentral's name for it is "partial 16S ribosomal RNA". It matches the Rfam family "Bacterial small subunit ribosomal RNA", at positions 29 to 506 of the family's 1533-position model. The record is from RNAcentral.
AGUGAACGCUGGCGGUAGGCCUAACACAUGCAAGUCGAACGGCAGCACAGUAAGAGCUUGCUCUUACGGGUGGCGAGUGGCGGACGGGUGAGGAAUACAUCGGAAUCUACUUUUUCGUGGGGGAUAACGUAGGUAAACUUACGCUAAUACCGCAUACGACCUACGGGUGAAAGCAUGGGAUCUUCGGACCUUGCGCGAUUGAAUGAGCCGAUUUCGGAUUGGCUAGUUGGCGGGGUAAAGGCCCACCACGGCGACGAUCCGUAGCUGGUCUGAGUGGAUGAUGAGCAAAACUGGAGGUGAGAAAGGGACCAGAGACCUAGGGGAGGCAGAAGGGGGGAAGAUUGGAAAAAGGGCGAAAGACUGAACCAGACAAACAGGGGGGGUGAAGAAGGCCUGCGGGUUGUAAAGCCAUUUUGUAGGGAAAGAAAAGAAGCAGGUUAAUACCCCGCUGUUCUGACGGUACCAAAAGAAUAAGCACCGGCUAACUUCGU